ACAGAGCGUGGCACCAACAACGUCAUCACCUACCGCAACGUCAAUUUGGUUCUCUUUUGAUGCAUUGGCGUUUGCUAACCGCGUGAGUCUAGAGCCAAAGCAACAAUUUUUCUUUUCGAACUUUAAUCGGUGCGUAUAGCGAUGCAUCGAAUUAGGUGAGGCCUCAUUAAGACUCGGCUCUUGUGUGUUUUGCGUGUUUUACGGUGAUGAACAACCUCUUUCUGAUCUCUUUCGUGACUCUACCGCGUCAUUUUGAGUGAUGAUUUAACAUUGAGACCUGACAGACGUCAAAUGCGGGUACAAACGUGCGUACGUAAUCUAUGAUGCGUGUUCUGUGUGGUACGCACUUACCAAAUGGUUUGGUUUGUACCUCCUGAAUACUUCCUAGAAAGUGCAUCGUCUAGGGAAUGUCUGACGUGAAGAGGAAGUCUUUAGACAAGUCUGGUGGUACUGAGAGAUAAACCAGUCACUCAGUGUUGCUGUACUGUGUUUACUUUUCCUUCAUGUCGUUUUCCAAAGUGCUCGUAGAUUCAGUGUUUGGCAAGAGUCCUGAGAUGUGUACAAAAAGAGAUCUUUGUAUGUUCUUACAACGACAUCGUACUAUUGCCAGUGACCUUGCUCUUUCAACAACUGGAACAAAGUCUAUUCUUAUUGAAAGAGUCACGAAGAUCCUCUGGUAAAGAGAAUUUUAGGUUAUACAAAAAUACCAACAUGGCUGCCUGCAAUAAGGUGGGGCCAAGAUAAUGAGGUAGUUGCUCGCUUAGUUUACCUUGAAAUGCAGCGUCGAAGAGGUCAUGCAGGAAUACAGGUAUCGGAAUGUGGAUUUUUUGUUGAUACAGAGCGUGGAUGGUUGGGAGCAUCACCAGAUGGUUUAAUCUAUGAUCCAAGUAACGUUGAUGACACAGAUGGUGUGCUUGAAAUCAAGUGUCCAUAUUCAAUGCGAACAAAAACGAUCUCUGAAGCUGCACAGAUGCCUGGCUUCUACUGUCAAUGGAAGGAUGGCCAGUUGCACUUGAAUAGAAGGCACAAGUAUUUCUACCAGGUGCAAGGUCAGAUGGCCAUAACAGGAAGGAACUGGUGUGACUUGUUGUAUGGACACAAUAUGACAUAUUUAUAGACCGAAUUAAGUAUAAACAUAAAUUUUGGUUACAGGAAUGCUUGCCUAAAUUAGAAAAUUUUUAUGACAAGUGUGUAUUAGCAGAAAUAGUUUCACCAAGGUUUCCACUUGGCUUGCCCAUGUUGGACCUUAGGUAGCAAGUAGAUAGAGUUCUGUUUGUACUAUUAAUGUUGUAAUGAUUGAAAAUGAAAUUGAACAGCAAGUGGUAGUGUGAUGUA
Molecule: long non-coding RNA, 1335 nt
Organism: Corticium candelabrum
Lineage: Eukaryota; Metazoa; Porifera; Homoscleromorpha; Homosclerophorida; Plakinidae
Exons: 3
Source: RefSeq, a predicted model, not a curated record